AUUGAACGCUGGCGGAAUGCUUUACACAUGCAAGUCGAACGGCAGCACGGACUUCGGUCUGGUGGCGAGUGGCGAACGGGUGAGUAAUGUAUCGGAACGUGCCCAGUCGUGGGGGAUAACGUAGUGAAAAUUACGCUAAUACCGCAUACGAUCUAUGGAUGAAAGCGGGGGAUCGCAAGACCUCGCGCGAUUGGAGCGGCCGAUAUCAGAUUAGGUAGUUGGUGGGGUAAAGGCCCACCAAGCCAACGAUCUAUAGCUGGUCUGAGAGGCCGACCAGCCACACUGGAACUCAGACACGGUCCAGACUCCUACGGGAGGCAGCAGUGGGGAAUUUUGGACAAUGGGCGAAAGCCUGAUCCAGCCAUUCCGCGUGCAGGAUGAAGGCCCUCGGGUUGUAAACUGCUUUUGUACAGAACGAAAAGGUUUCUACUAAUACUAGGAGCUCAUGACGGUACUGUAAGAAUAAGCACCGGCUAACUACGUGCCAGCAGCCGCCGUAA
This 500-nucleotide ribosomal RNA is filed under the name uncultured bacterium. RNAcentral describes it as "partial 16S ribosomal RNA". It matches the Rfam family "Bacterial small subunit ribosomal RNA", at positions 30 to 523 of the family's 1533-position model. The record is from RNAcentral.